CGGGACGGGUGAGUAAUGUCUAGGGAAACUGCCUGAUGGGAGGGGAUAACUACUGGAAACGGUAGCUAAUACCGCAUAACGUCGCAAGACCAAGAGGGGACCUUCGGGCCUCUUGCCAUCGGAUGUGCCCAGAUGGGAUUAGCUAGUAGGUGGGGUAACGGCUCACCUAGGCGACGAUCCCUAGCUGGUCUGAGAGGAUGACCAGCCACACUGGAACUGAGACACGGUCCAG
RNAcentral lists this ribosomal RNA (232 nucleotides) under uncultured bacterium. RNAcentral's name for it is "partial 16S ribosomal RNA". It matches the Rfam family "Bacterial small subunit ribosomal RNA", at positions 100 to 334 of the family's 1533-position model. The record is from RNAcentral.